CCAUCUCCUCCUACCUAACCGUUCGUCCAACAGAAAGAAAGAUAAAAUCCUCCAGAUCUUGGAUUCCGGCCGCCACCGACCUGCACCCACAUAGUCCCUCCGGCUUGAGCAGCAGCGGAGACGGGAACCACCCUUCCGAGCCAGGCUCCGGCCGCCGCCAACGCGCAUCCCCAUAGCCCCUCCUAUUAGGGCGAUUUGAAUGGUCCCUACGAACUAGGGUUCCGGCCGUCGCCGACGCGGACCACCGUGUGGCACAGCUGGUCGAUCUUCGGCUAGUAUGAGGCGGCGCCGCAGAAGCCAUGCGCGGCCAUGAAGGUUUAGGAGGGCCGCGCGGCCCAGCCGGCCAAGUACUGGGCCGAGGCAGUGGCGGUGUCGCCGGCGGUUGCCGCCGAGCGCGGCGACGAAGCUGCAGGUGGCCGAGGCAGAGGCGGUGUCGCCGGUGGCAACCGCCGAGCGCGGCAACGAAGCUGCAGGUGGCCGAGCCCACCGUUACAACUAUUCUCAUACGACGUCCCUGGCGAACAAAGCUGACCAUGGUUUGCAGCGGAGUUAGAGCGGCGGAAGUUGCAGAAUGCGCCGUCGCCAGCAGCUGCACGCCCAGCUGCAGCGCCGCCUCCUCCUUCCGCAAAUUGGGUUGAGGGGCCUUACGUCCAUGGUCUCAUCGAACCUCCAUGGUCAGCAGUCUUGUCGCGGCGUCGAGGUCUGGUGGUUGACGGAUGUUGCCCUGCAGAGUUUCCAACGCCGGCAGUGAUGCAGCGUGCAGCAUGCUGCGUACAGCGAUGUGGCCGUGCCGCUAUAAUCCGAGCAUAUGACUUAGUUUUCAGGCAGCAACAAUUAACACCCCUGAUCAUUGGGCCGGCCAUGGAUGCGAAGAUGCUGCGACGAGCGCGACCACCAAGGUCUAACGUGGUGGCAGAAAAGCGGGUAAUUGCGGGAGCACGCCGGGACGAGGUCGGCGAGGGAGAGGGCAAGGACAGAGGUCGGUGAGGGCAAGGGCGAGGACCCAUGUCAGAGAGGGAGAGAACAACUGGUGUGAGAGGUUAUGUUGGUGUGAGAGGUUACUGGCAAACAACAUUUAGUUAACUCUUCGCGCCAAGGCCAGUGAGAUCACCGUUGAGAUCAAGAUCAACAACCAACAUUUAUCGAGGGGUUGUUUUUCAAAUCCACUUUAAACACAGACACCUUUCACCUGCUCUCUGGGUUGUUGUCAUUAGCAGCUGUCCUAUUUAGCUCAGACCUGAGCCUUGUAAUCGCUUUCAUUGUUGUAUUUGGUUAAAUCCUAGCCGUUUGUUCCGGCUGGCAUCACUUCCUCUUGUAAGAUUAGAUCUGAAUCUAAUAAGGCGUAGCUGAAAGUAGUGACUGAAUUCGUGCGAUUUUCCUGAA
Long non-coding RNA from Lolium perenne, 1383 nucleotides. RefSeq lists it as uncharacterized. Lineage: Eukaryota; Viridiplantae; Streptophyta; Magnoliopsida; Poales; Poaceae. The record is from RefSeq and is a predicted model, not a curated record.